This 307-nucleotide long non-coding RNA is filed under the name Gossypium barbadense (sea-island cotton). Its description in RNAcentral is "long non-coding RNA (GBAR_LNC012849)". Lineage: Eukaryota; Viridiplantae; Streptophyta; Magnoliopsida; Malvales; Malvaceae. The record is from RNAcentral.
AAAUUUAGUUGCUGCAGAUGAAGUAGCUUGGGUUUUUGAAUAGAUUAAAUGGAGUAAGAUUUAAAGGAUUGAAAAAGCCAACAAUGAGAAGAAACGAGAAGAAAAUUUUAGGGUCUUGUAUUAUUUGCUUGUUGUGUUGAGUUUUUGUAUGAUUGAGAUUAAGGGGAAAUAAAGUAAUGAAAUGGGUUUUUAAUAAAAGAAAUAAAGAAGAAAACGAAGAAACAUAGAAGAAGGCGCAAAAAAAGAAAAAAAUAAAAAAAGAAAUUAAAAAGGGAAUAGGAGGGAAAAAAAAGAAAAAAAAAAAGAA